CUCUCAAAAAAAAAAAGACAGUUAUACUUACUUAUAACAACAACAAAAAAAGAAAAUGUAGAGUUAAGAAAACAUGCAAUGUAACAAUUGCCUGUAAUACAACCAAUUUAAAAAAAUCACUGUGAAUAUUAUAUUUUUUCCUGAACUUUAUUUGUAUCUUCAUAACUUUUGUUUUUUUCUCUCAUUAAGAACACAGUCCUCUGGAUAUCUUACUGUACUUCUCUGAAGCUCAGGAGCUGCUGACAGAAUUACAGGCUGUGAGGUUGUGCCAAUAUCUGCAACUAGAGUAAUGAUCCUUGUACCUGCAUUGCCUAGAGCACUUUCCUCAAAGUUCCUAUAAUCCUAUAAUCAUAUGCAUCUUUGGAAUUAUCCUGAGAUUACAUUUUCAGCUGCCUCGCCAGAAGAUCCCUCCUCUGACAGCUGGCAGCUCAUAGCCAGUUCCACCUACAGGCCUCUGCACUUCCACCUGGAGUCUGAAAGCUGCAAACAUGGCUGCUUGCCUUUGCAAACCCAGGGCAUGUUUAAGGAGAAGCACAGGAAAUCUAGCAGCACUUUUGAGACGUUCCUCCUUUUUUUUUUUUUUUUUUUUUAAGAAAACAAGAACCUCACAAG
This 612-nucleotide long non-coding RNA is filed under the name Homo sapiens (human). RNAcentral's name for it is "HSALNT0386783". Lineage: Eukaryota; Metazoa; Chordata; Mammalia; Primates; Hominidae. The record is from RNAcentral.